AUAUAUAAAGUAAAAUUUACAUUUAGUUUCGACCUAAAAAUAGAUAAACUCUUAUCUAUAUAUU
Molecule: transfer RNA, 64 nt
Filed under: Megalodontes quinquecinctus
Lineage: Eukaryota; Metazoa; Arthropoda; Insecta; Hymenoptera; Megalodontesidae
Description: tRNA-Arg
Source: RNAcentral